RNAcentral lists this ribosomal RNA (492 nucleotides) under uncultured bacterium. Its description in RNAcentral is "partial 16S ribosomal RNA". It matches the Rfam family "Bacterial small subunit ribosomal RNA", at positions 29 to 507 of the family's 1533-position model. The record is from RNAcentral.
AGUGAACGCUGGCGGUAGGCCUAACACAUGCAAGUCGAACGGCAGCACAGUAAGAGCUUGCUCUUACGGGUGGCGAGUGGCGGACGGGUGAGGAAUACAUCGGAAUCUACUUUUUCGUGGGGGAUAACGUAGGGAAACUUACGCUAAUACCGCAUACGACCUACGGGUGAAAGCAGGGGAUCUUCGGACCUUGCGCGAUUGAAUGAGCCGAUGUCGGAUUAGCUAGUUGGCGGGGUAAAGGCCCACCAAGGCGACGAUCCGUAGCUAGUCUGAGAGGAUGAUCCGCCACACUGGAACUGAGACACGGUCCAGACUCCUACGGGAGGCAGCAGUGGGGAAUAUUCGACAAUGGGCGCAAGCCUGAUCCAGCCAUACCGCGUGGGUGAAGAAGGCCUUCGGGUUGUAAAGCCCUUUUGUUGGGAAAGACAAGCAGCAGGUUAAUACCCCGCUGUUCUGACGGUACCCAAAGAAUAAGCACCGGCUAACUUCGUG